RNAcentral lists this ribosomal RNA (493 nucleotides) under uncultured bacterium. RNAcentral's name for it is "bacterial SSU rRNA". It matches the Rfam family "Bacterial small subunit ribosomal RNA", at positions 15 to 507 of the family's 1533-position model. The record is from RNAcentral.
GAUCAUGGCUCAGGAUGAACGCUAGCGGCAGGCCUAACACAUGCAAGUCGAGGGGUAGAGGGUGCUUGCAUCCUUGAGACCGGCGCACGGGUGCGUAACGCGUAUGCAACCUGCCUUCCACAGGGGAAUAGCCCAGAGAAAUUUGGAUUAAUGCCCCAUGGCACAUCGAGACGGCAUCGUCUUGGUGUUAAAGUAACAACGGUGGAAGAUGGGCAUGCGUCCCAUUAGCUAGUUGGUAAGGUAACGGCUUACCAAGGCUAUGAUGGGUAGGGGUCCUGAGAGGGAGAUCCCCCACACUGGUACUGAGACACGGACCAGACUCCUACGGGAGGCAGCAGUGAGGAAUAUUGGUCAAUGGACGAGAGUCUGAACCAGCCAAGUAGCGUGAAGGAUGACUGCCCUAUGGGUUGUAAACUUCUUUUAUACGGGAAUAAAGUGGGCUAUGUAUAGCUUUUUGUAUGUACCGUAUGAAUAAGGAUCGGCUAACUCCGUG